RNAcentral lists this long non-coding RNA (851 nucleotides) under Anas platyrhynchos platyrhynchos (common mallard). RNAcentral describes it as "lncRNA (ENSAPLG00000021327.1)". Lineage: Eukaryota; Metazoa; Chordata; Aves; Anseriformes; Anatidae. The record is from RNAcentral.
CUAAGUAUGAAUUAAUCAUUCUACUCUAAUUACCCUUCUCUUAAAAUGGUCUGUGAUUGAAUUCAGCUGCAACCAAAGAGAUCAAAACUUUUUCUUACUUACUUUAAAGAGUUUUUCUUCAAGAAACUGUGCACAGCACAAUAAAACAGCAUUUCAAAAAGCUUUUAGUUUCCUCACUUUCUGGGAUGCUCCUAACUUUCAAAGCAACAGCCAGUUCUAUAAAACUUCUUUGGGCUGACUUAUCUCACAAACCAGCAGAGAAAUGAUUACUUUGGAUAGUAUAUAAAAUAGACCCCCUGUUUUGGAAAUCUUCAGCAGCUGUAAGGCUGGGAAAGGCACACUGGAGGAUAUUUAUAUAAGCAAAUUUCUUUUUAUUGAAUGUAGCUGGCUGUUCUCUGCAUUCUCCUUGUAUAGUCAGUACAGGACAUGAGCAAGAAGGUUCCAGGGGCAGUUUAGAUAUUUGCUUUGUACUCUGGAUUUCCCUUUAGAAAAAGCUGUCUUUUACUAUAGGCUAUAAGUGAGACUGGGUGGUUAAAUUAGGUGCCUAAAAUUGCAGUGUUAAUGAUUUCCAUGUCUUGUAUGCAUAUCUCCAUGUAUUGCACAGAUUGUAGCCUAUGCCAUAUUAUCACUUCUCUGUGUUUGGGUUCUCUCUGCUAUUUAACCUUCCUGAAGAAUUCCACUGCAGCAAAACAAAAACACUUCUGUCCCUCCCAGACUGGGACUCAGGAGCAAGGAGUCCAAUUCUCCAGGGUUUAUGAAGAAUUGCUGUAAAUGUCACUUACAGAAUGAAAAAAAGACAGUCUUGGAAGAGGAACAAUAAACUGGGGAGCAGAAAGAUAAAGAAUGAAAAA